This 497-nucleotide ribosomal RNA is filed under the name uncultured bacterium. RNAcentral's name for it is "partial 16S ribosomal RNA". It matches the Rfam family "Bacterial small subunit ribosomal RNA", at positions 28 to 507 of the family's 1533-position model. The record is from RNAcentral.
GAUGAACGCUGGCGGCGUGCCUAAUACAUGCAAGUCGAGCGAACGGACGAGAAGCUUGCUUCUCUGAUGUUAGCGGCGGACGGGUGAGUAACACGUGGAUAACCUACCUAUAAGACUGGGAUAACUUCGGGAAACCGUAGCUAAUACCGGAUAAUAUUUUGAACCGCAUGGUUCAAAAGUGAAAGACGGUCUUGCUGUCACUUAUAGAUGGAUCCGCGCUGCAUUAGCUAGUUGGUAAGGUAACGGCUUACCAAGGCAACGAUGCAUAGCCGACCUAAGAGGGUGAUCGGCCACACUGGAACUGAGACGCGGUCCAGACUCCUACGGGAGGCAGCAGUAGGGAAUCUUCCGCAAAGGGCGAAAGCCUGACGGAGCAACGCCGCGUGAGUGAUGAAGGUCUUCGGAUCGUAAAACUCUGUUAUUAGGGAAGAACAUAUGUGUAAGUAACUGUGCACAUCUUGACGGUACCUAAUCAGAAAGCCACGGCUAACUACGUG